AAAUUGAAGAGUUUGAUCAUGGCUCAGAUUGAACGCUGGCGGCAGGCCUAACACAUGCAAGUCGAGCGGAAACGGCAGCAUUGAAGCUUCGGUGGAUUUGCUGGACGUCGAGCGGCGGACGGGUGAGUAACGGCUGGGAACCUGCCCUGACGAGGGGGAUAACCGUUGGAAACGACGGCUAAUACCGCAUAAUGUCUAC
RNAcentral lists this ribosomal RNA (199 nucleotides) under Salinivibrio sp. ML198. Its description in RNAcentral is "partial 16S ribosomal RNA". It matches the Rfam family "Bacterial small subunit ribosomal RNA", at positions 1 to 183 of the family's 1533-position model. The record is from RNAcentral. Lineage: Bacteria; Pseudomonadati; Pseudomonadota; Gammaproteobacteria; Vibrionales; Vibrionaceae.